AUGUCACCAAGUGACUCAAAAUGGCCGUUUGUGUUGAAAAGGAGGCAGUACCCUAUAUCACUUUGUUUUGCAAUGACGAUAAAUAAGAGUCAAGGGCAGUCACUAAAACAUGUGGGGCUAUAUUUACCAAAGAAGGUAUUCACACAUGGCCAACUCUAUGUAGCGGUAUCAAGAGUCACGAGUAGAGAUGGACUUAAAAUUCUAAUUUCAGAUGAAGAAUCUAAAGAAAAUAAUUUGGCAAAAAAUAUUGUGUACAAGGAGAUCCUUUAG
RNAcentral lists this ribosomal RNA (270 nucleotides) under Triticum aestivum (bread wheat). RNAcentral's name for it is "partial small subunit ribosomal RNA". The record is from RNAcentral. Lineage: Eukaryota; Viridiplantae; Streptophyta; Magnoliopsida; Poales; Poaceae.